Molecule: long non-coding RNA, 2880 nt
Organism: Dama dama (fallow deer)
Lineage: Eukaryota; Metazoa; Chordata; Mammalia; Artiodactyla; Cervidae
Exons: 3
Source: RefSeq, a predicted model, not a curated record
ACCAUGUGAGGAUUCAGAAGAAGGCAGCCAUCUGCAAUCCAGGAAGAGGGGUCUCACCUGAUACCUUGAUCUUGGACCUUCCAGUCUCCAGAAGUGUGAUAAGAAUGAAUAUUCAAAAGAUGUAUUUUGAUUUCAUGAGUUGAAUGAAGAAAAACCAUCAUUUGUAUUGACUGAUUUUCUCUGGCAAGAAUACAUAGAAGAAUUAGACAAAAAAGAUCUUCAAGACCCAGAUAAUCACAAUGGUGUGAUCACUCACCUAGAGCCAGACAUCUGGAAUGCAAAGUCAAGUGGGCCUUAGGAAGCAUCACUACGAACAAAGCUAGUGGAGGUGGAAUUCCAGUUGACCUAUUUCAAAUCCUAAAAGAUGAUGCUGUGAAAGUGCUGCACUCAAUAUGCCAGCAAAUUUGGAAAACUCAGCAGUGGCCACAGGAUGGGAAAAGGUCAGUUUUCAUUCCAAUCCCAAAGAAAGGCAAUCCCAAAGAAUGCUCAAACUACUGCACUAUUGCAGUCAUCUCACAUGCUAGUAAAGUAAUGCUCAAAAUUCUCCAACCUAGGCUUCAACAGUACAUGGACUGUGAACUUCCAGAUGUUCAAGCUGGUUUUAGAAAAGACAGAGGAACCAGAGAUCAAAUUGCCAACAUCAGCUGGAUCAUCGAAAAAAUAAGAGAGUUCCAGAAAAACAUCUACUUCUGCUUUACUGACUAUGCCAAAGCCUUUGACCUGACCCUGAUGCUGGGAAAGAUUGAAGGUAGGAGGAGAAGGGGACAACAGAGGAUGAGAUGGUUGGAUGGCAUCACCGACUCAAUGGACAUGAAUUUGAGUAAACUCCAGGAGUUGAUGAUGGACAGGGAGGCCUGGCCCCAGUCCAUGGGGUUGUAAACUCAGACAUGACUGAGGGACUGAACUGAACUGAAAGCCUCUGACUGUGUGGAUCACAGUAAACUGUAGAAAUUUCUUCAAGAGAUGGGAAUACCAGAUCACCUGACCUGCCUCUUGAGAAAUCUGUUUGCAGGUCAGGAAGCAACAGUUAGAACUGGACAUGGGACAACAGACUGGUUCCAAAUAGGGAAAGGAGUACAUCAAGGCUGUAUAUUGUCACCCUGCUUAUUUAACUUAUAUGCAAAGUACAUCAUACAUGGGCUGGAGGAAGCACAAGCUGGAAUCAAGAUUCCCGGGAGAAAUAUCAAUAACCUCAGAUAUGCAGAUGACACCACCCUUGUGGCAGAAAGUGAAGAAGAACUAAAGAGCCUCUUGAUGAAAGUGAAAGAGGAGAGUGAAAAAGUUGGCUUAAAACUCAACAUUCAGAAAACUAAGACCAUGGCAUCUGGUCUCAUCACUUUAUGGCAAAUAGACGGGGGAAGCAGUGGAAACAGUGAGAGACUUUAUAUUUGGGGGCUCCAAAAUCACUGCAGAUGGUGACUGCAGUCAUGAGAUUAAAAGACACUUUCUCCUUGGAAGAAAAGUUAUGACCAACCUAGACAGCAUAUUAAAAAGCAGAGGCAGAUUCAUGUUGAGGUUUAACAGAAAACAGCAAAAUUCUGUAAAGCAAUUAUCCUUCAAUAAAAAAUAAAUUAAUUAAAAAAAAUCAGACACAUUACUUUGCCAACAAAGGUCCAUCUAGUCAAAGCUAUGGUUUUUCCAGUAGUGAUGUAUGGAUGUGAGAGUUGGACUAUAAAGAAAGCUGAGCACCAAAGAAUUGAUGCUUUUGAACUAUGGUGUUAGAGAAGACUCUUGAGAGUUCCUUGGACUGUAAGGAGAUCCAACCAGUCCAUCCUGAAGGAGAUCAGUCCUGAAUAUUCAUUGGAAGGACUGAUGCUGAAGCUGAAGCUCCAGUAUUUUGGGCUCCUGAUACAAAGAGCUGACUGAUUAGAAAAGACCCUGAUGCUGGGAAAGAUAGAAGGCAGGAAGAGAAGGGGAUGACAGAGGACGAGAUAAUUGGAUGGCCUCACUGACUCAAUGGACGUGGUUUGGGUAAACUCCAGGAGUCGGUGAUGGACAGGGAGGCCUGGUGUGCUGCAGUCCGUGGGUUGGACAUGACUGAGUGGCUGAACUGAACUGAACUGAGGACACCGGAGUAAAACUGGCCUCGUUCAACUGUUUGUGCAGUUCUUCUGAUAAUGGAGUUAUCACUUCACUUUUCAUGUAUCCAGAAGGAAACUUGGAAUCCAAAGUGAGUGAAGUUAAUGAAGAAGAACAAUCAUUGGAGAUUAAGGCACAGUUGUUCCACUGUUAGGGACCCUGGGUCAGCAGCUCUGCCGUCUUCAGCACGUGCCUUCCAAGGACGCCCCAGACAGCAACACACGCCAGAGGAUGGGAAAGGAGAAGUGUGUAAAGGCACAUCUGCUUCUGACACAGAACGCUUCUGCUCAUAUUCCACUGAUGAACGUGGCUACACCAAAAAGGGUGUAGGGCUGAGAGCAUAGUCCCUGGCCUGGCCCCCACUCUUGGCCAAAACUCUCUCCCCUGCGAAGGGACGCUUGAACUCACUGGGAGACAGUUAGACAACUUUUCCAUGAGAAGAAUCAGGAAUUGUGUUGAAAGGGAGGCAUCGAGGAAGUCAAAGCUAUGCAGCCAAUUUAGAGUCUGGCUCUGCCACCCACCAGCGGAAUGAUUUAGUCUCUCUUGACCAACAGUUUCCUCACCUACAAAAUCAAGAUCAUAAUAGCAGCUCACAGGAUUGCAGUGAGAAUGAAAUGCAACAAGAAAUGUGAAGGUUUUUGUAAAUAAGGAAAGGUUCCCUGUGCUCCUUGAAGCUGGGGCUGAGCAGAGUUGAUUUUUUAAAAUUGGAUUUACUGUAUGUUUUUGAAGGCUUACUAUUCAAGUCACUGGCUAAUUCAAGACUGAAGAAAACUAGGUGUUUCUUAAGCUUAUAUUUCUUAA